AGGAAUAUUGGUCAAUGGGCGCGAGCCUGAACCAGCCAAGUAGCGUGAAGGAUGAAGGUCCUACGGAUUGUAAACUUCUUUUAUAAGGGAAUAAAGUCAUCUACGUGUAGGUGUUUGUAUGUACCUUAUGAAUAAGCAUCGGCUAACUCCGUGCCAGCAGCCGCGGUAAUACGGAGGAUGCGAGCGUUAUCCGGAUUUAUUGGGUUUAAAGGGAGCGUAGACGGGUCGUUAAGUCAGCUGUGAAAGUUUGGGGCUCAACCUUAAAAUUGCAGUUGAUACUGGCGUCCUUGAGUACGGUUGAGGCAGGCGGAAUUCGUGGUGUGGCGGUGAAAUGCUUAGAUAUCACGAAGAACCCCGAUUGCGAAGGCAGCCUGCUAAACCGCCACUGACGUUGAGGCUCGAAAGUGUGGGUAUCAAACAGGAUUAGAUACCCUGGUAGUCCACACGGUAAACGAUGGAUACUCGCUGUUGGCGAUAGACUGUCAGCGGCUUAGCGAAAGCGUUAAGUAUCCCACCUGGGGAGUACGCCGGCAACGGUGAAACUCAAAGGAAUUGACGGGGGCCCGCACAAGCGGAGGAACAUGUGGUUUAAUUCGAUGAUACGCGAGGAACCUUACCCGGGCUUAAAUUGCAGAUGAAUUACGGUGAAAGCCGUAAGCCGCAAGGCAUCUGUGAAGGUGCUGCAUGGUUGUCGUCAGCUCGUGCCGUGAGGUGUCGGCUUAAGUGCCAUAACGAGCGCAACCCUUGUUGUCAGUUACUAACAGGUUCCGCUGAGGACUCUGACAAGACUGCCAUCGUAAGAUGUGAGGAAGGUGGGGAUGACGUCAAAUCAGCACGGCCCUUACGUCCGGGGCUACACACGUGUUACAAUGGGGGGUACAGAGGGCCGCUACCACGCGAGUGGAUGCCAAUCCCCAAAACCUCUCUCAGUUCGGACUGGAGUCUGCAACCCGACUCCACGAAGCUGGAUUCGCUAGUAAUCGCGCAUCAGCCACGGCGCGGUGAAUACGUUCCCG
This 1016-nucleotide ribosomal RNA is filed under the name uncultured bacterium. RNAcentral describes it as "bacterial SSU rRNA". It matches the Rfam family "Bacterial small subunit ribosomal RNA", at positions 357 to 1376 of the family's 1533-position model. The record is from RNAcentral.